Molecule: ribosomal RNA, 1471 nt
Filed under: marine metagenome
Description: bacterial LSU rRNA
Rfam family: Bacterial large subunit ribosomal RNA
Source: RNAcentral
AAGGUCUAUAGUCGAGAGGGAAACAGCCCAGAUCACCAGUUAAGGCCCCCAAAUAAUGGCUAAGUGGGAAAGUAUGUAGAAACUCCAAGACAGCCAGGAGGUUGGCUUAGAAGCAGCCAUCCUUUAAAGAUAGCGUAACAGCUCACUGUUCUAAAUAAGUUUUUCCGCGACGAAGAUGUAACGGGGCUAAAGCCAUUUGCCGAAACUGUGACUUUAUAAUUAUUGCGAUAAUUAUAAGGGGUAGCGGAGCGUUCUGUAAGCCGUCGAAGAUGUUUUGAAAAAAAUGUUGGAGGUAUCAGAAGUGCGAAUGCUGACAUGAGUAGCGAUAAAGAGUGUGAGAGACACUCUCGCCGAAAUCCUAAGGUUUCCUGCGUAAAGCUAAUCUGCGCAGGGUUAGUCGACCCCUAAGGCGAGGCAGAAAUGCGUAGUCGAUGGGAAACAGGUUAAUAUUCCUGUACCUUCUGUGAGUUGACGGAUCACGUAAAUAGUACUCCCUUAUUGGAUUGAGAGUGCUGUGAAGUGGUUCCUGGAAAUAGCCACAGAGUAUAGAUCGUACCAAAACCGACACAGGUAGGAAGGUAGAGUAUACCAAGGCGCUUGAGAGAACUAUGUUGAAGGAACUCGGCAAAUUACACUUGUAACUUCGGGAUAAAAGUGACCUGCUAUUGGGCAACCAGUAGGAGGUGGCACAGAAGAGGGGGUAGCGACUGUUUACUAAAAACAUAGCACUAUGCAAAGUCGAGAGACGACGUAUAUGGUGUGACGCCUGCCCGGUGCCGGAAGGUUAAUAGGAGGGGUGCAAGCUCCGAAUUGAAGCCCCGGUGAACGGCGGCCGUAACUAUAACGGUCCUAAGGUAGCGAAAUUCCUUGUCGGGUAAGUUCCGACCUGCACGAAUGGCGUAACGAUUUCCCCACUGUCUCCAACAUAGACUCAGUGAAAUUGAAUUCUCGGUUAAGAUGCCGAGUAACCGUGGUUAGACGGAAAGACCCCGUGCACCUUUACUGCAGCUUUGUAUUGGUAUUAGGGGACAGAUGUGUAGCAUAGGUGGGAGACUUUGAAGGAUUGGCGCUAGCCAGUCUGGAGUCACCAGUGAAAUACCACUCUUCUGUUCCUUGAUGCCUAACCAUACACCGUUAUCCGGUGUUGGGACCAUGCAUGGUGGGCAGUUUGACUGGGGCGGUCGCCUCCCAAAGAGUAACGGAGGCGCGCGAUGGUAGGCUCAGAACGCUUGGAAACCGUUCGUCGAGUGCAAUGGCAUAAGCCUGCCUGACUGUGAGACUGACAAGUCGAGCAGAGACGAAAGUCGGUCAUAGUGAUCCGGUGGCACUUCGUGGAAGGGCCAUCGCUCAACGGAUAAAAGGUACGCCGGGGAUAACAGGCUGAUCUCUCCCAAGAGUCCAUAUCGACGGGGAGGUUUGGCACCUCGAUGUCGGCUCAUCGCAUCCUGGGGCUGAAGCAGGUCCCAAGGGU